GCCCUUCUCCUGGAAACGGGUGGUAAUGCCGGAUGUUCCACAUGAGCGCAUGCGAGUGUGGGAAAGGCUUUUUGCGGCAUGGGAUGGGGUCGCGUCCUAUCAGCUUGUUGGUGGGGUAACGGCCUACCAAGGCGUUGACGGGUAUCCGCCCUGAGAGUGUGACCGGCCACUUUGGGACUGAUAUACUGCCCAAACUCCCUACGGAGGCAGCGUUGACAAUAU
Molecule: ribosomal RNA, 222 nt
Filed under: uncultured Bifidobacterium sp.
Lineage: Bacteria; Bacillati; Actinomycetota; Actinomycetes; Bifidobacteriales; Bifidobacteriaceae
Description: partial 16S ribosomal RNA
Rfam family: Bacterial small subunit ribosomal RNA
Source: RNAcentral